GGCCCUGCACUAUCCACAUAGUACAGUGUGUUCUUGGUGUGUAGAGGGAAGAAUGACCACAGGGAACCCCACACAUCUAUAGGAAACAAUGCUUAUAACAAAUGCAUACUUAAAGUGGAAUUGCUGUACUGGGCUUUCACUUCUGACAAAGCAUUGAGAGUUGGGGUAAAAUGCCCCUAGAAUCUGAAAACAAAUGUCUCUUCUGAGACUCACAUGUCAUAAAGUGAAGAAAUAUUUUCUCUUCUUCGAACUUAUUAUAAGAAUUCUUUACUCAGAAGAGAUUUGGCUUUUUUGGGAAAUUUGCUGUAUAAGACUACUGAGGGGAUAAAAACAAGCUUCUAGGACCUGGGUUUUGGGCUGAUGCCUAGUUCCCAUGAGGAAGAGAAAAACUCUGCCUAAUAAAUGGGAGAAGGAGGAAUUCGAUGUUCCUACAGAGACAAAGCCAGGAGGGAAGAUGAAAGAGCAAGACAAAGGAAGAAGUAUUGUCACUUAUGGAAGGAGAUGGUUAAGGGCUCUGGAGUUGAGAACAAAUCCAAAAAGGGCAAAGAGAAAUGUCUGAUGGUGUUAUGUUUUAUUAUGUUGGGUUUGGAUGAUGCAAGCUUCUCUGCCAUCUCCUUUAUAAAAUUGCUACUGCUAUGGGGUAUGUGGAUUGGGGUGUGGGUGAAUUUUGAAGAGAAGAGGGAGAUCCAAACAGCAGACUGCGCCUGUGUUAUUGAUGGGAGAGGCUCUUUGCCAGAACUCAUUUGGAAUAAGGUGUGUGUGUGUGUGUUUCCCUGGAUUAAGGGAGGGUGAGUGAUGGGAGAGGAUCUUUGCCAGAAGUCAUUUGGAAUAAGGUAGGGGUGUGUGUGAGUGUGUGUGUGUAUGUGUGUGUGUGUUUCCCUGGAUUAAGGGAGGGUGAGUGAAGCCUCAAAAUCCUUUAAGUCUUGGCUGAAUAGGAAAGUUCACACUCGACCAUGUGAACUACAGUGUGGAAACUUAGUAGUACCAGUAUACUUCUCAAUAUUUAGGGGAGGUUGACUAAUUUGUUCAUUGUGGCAGCCUAUAUCAUGAUCCUUUAAAUAAAAUAGGCCCAUGAGGGAGAGAGGAAGGGCUU
Molecule: long non-coding RNA, 1093 nt
Filed under: Sus scrofa (pig)
Lineage: Eukaryota; Metazoa; Chordata; Mammalia; Artiodactyla; Suidae
Description: lncRNA (ENSSSCG00030029811.1)
Source: RNAcentral